RNAcentral lists this long non-coding RNA (625 nucleotides) under Equus caballus (horse). RNAcentral's name for it is "lncRNA (ENSECAG00000031713.3)". Lineage: Eukaryota; Metazoa; Chordata; Mammalia; Perissodactyla; Equidae. The record is from RNAcentral.
GAUAUGAGAAGCCGAGGAAAGCGUGUUCCCAAAGCUAUUUGUGACCACCCCUUCCUCUUCUCCCUAACAAGGAAACCCUGCCUGUGACGAGCUGUACAAGGCCUGGCUCAGCGGCUGGCGGGACAGCAACUGGAGACUUAGGAAGAAAAACAACUUCUAAACGUGGUGUUCGUGCAAGAAAGUAUCAGAAAGUGGAAAAUCUCUGAUCCACGCCAUCUGUUUGUCUCAUCCAGUGGUGCAUUCCAAUCUCUGCAACAGAAGAUUCAUGACAACCUGCCAAUAAAAUUCCUGAGAUUGUCAAAACGCAGAAUACUUCUGAAAAAGUUUAAGAUAAGAUUCUUUCAUGUUUAAAUUCCUCAUACACACCCUUUCUCUCAGAGCACAGCUGGCUUCAGUACCAGAUUUCAGGGUCCUGGCUCUGUCUUAGAGGAGUAGAAUCAUAUUCAGCAGAUCCUGCAUAUUCCUGGAAGGGGCUUUCUGACCACAUGAUCUUCAGGGUGACACAUGGACAAGAAACAGAUCUUCUUCUUGUAAUAAAUGGAUCUGCUGUGAGCCUCACAAAAAUCAACUGCAGUUUUGCAUAUUAACAUGCUCAUUCAUCAAGUAACCAUAAAAAUGUCCUGUG